Molecule: ribosomal RNA, 1680 nt
Filed under: human metagenome
Description: bacterial LSU rRNA
Rfam family: Bacterial large subunit ribosomal RNA
Source: RNAcentral
GGAGGUUGGCUUAGAAGCAGCCAUCCUUGAAAGAGUGCGUAAUAGCUCACUGGUCGAGUGGUUCUGCGCCGAUAAUGUAGCGGGGCUUAAGUACACCGCCGAAACCGCGGCAACACAUGUAAAGGUGUGUUGGGUAGGGGAGCGUCGUGCAUGUGUUGAAGCUAUUUGGUGACAGGUGGUGGAGUGUGUGCGAGUGAGAAUGCAGGCAUGAGUAACGAUUGAUGUGUGAGAAACAUAUCCGCCGGAUGACUAAGGGUUCCUGGGUGAAGUUUGUCUUCCCAGGGUGAGUCGGGGCCUAAGGCGAGGCCGACAGGCGUAGUCGAUGGAUGACGGGUUGAUAUUCCCGUACCCGUGUGCGUGCGACAAGUGAUGAAUCUUAUGGUACUAACCACCCGCUUGUUUCUGCUGAUCUUUUUGGUUGGUGGUUGCAGGUGCGUGGGAUCUUCGUGGGUAGUAGUCAAGUGAUGGGGUGACGCAGAGUGGUAGCUAGGCUUCCUUAUUGGAUUGGAGUGCAAGCGUGUGGCCUGUGGGGUUGGGAAAUCCGCCCCGCAUAUGAGGUGAGGCGUGAUGCGGACACCAGUUGUGGUGGUAGUUAGUGUGCCUGUGCUGUCUAGAAAAGCCUCUAGCGAGUGCGUGCAUGGCCCGUACCGGAAACCGACACAGGUGGUCAGGUAGAGAAUACUAAGGCGUUCGGGUGAACUGUGGUUAAGGAACUCGGCAAAAUGCCCCCGUAACUUCGGGAGAAGGGGGACCAUUACUGGUUGCUGACAGCGUGAAAGCUGGUGGUGGUCGCAGAGGAGAGAGGGAAGCGACUGUUUAUUAAAAACACAGGUCCGUGCGAAAACGUGGAAGUUGAGGUAUACGGACUGACGCCUGCCCGGUGCUGGAAGGUUAAGAGGACCCGUGAGUGCAUCUUUGUGGUGUGCGAGGCGGAGAAUUGAAGCCCCAGUAAACGGCGGUGGUAACUAUAACCAUCCUAAGGUAGCGAAAUUCCUUGUCGGGUAAGUUCCGACCUGCACGAAUGGCGUAACGACUUCCCUGCUGUCUCAACCACAGGCCCGGUGAAAUUGCAGUACGAGUAAAGAUGCUCGUUUCGCGCGGCAGGACGAAAAGACCCCGGGACCUUUACUAUAGCUUGGUAUUGGUGUUUGGUCAUGCUUGUGUAGGAUAGGUGGGAGACUGUGAAGCUUCAACGCUAGUUGUGGUGGAGUCGCAGGUGAAAUACCACUCUGGUGUGAUUGGGUACCUGAACCUUGGCCCGUGAUCCGGGUUGGGGACAGUGCCUGGUGGGUAGUUUAACUGGGGCGGUUGCCUCCUAAAUGGUAACGGAGGCGCCCAAAGGUUUCCUCAGUCUGGUUGGCAAUCAGAUGGUGAGUGUAAGUGUAUAAGGGAGCUUGACUGUGACACUGACGGGUGGAGCAGGUGCGAAAGCAGGGACUAGUGAUCCGGCACCGACGUGUGGUUGUGGUGUCGCUCAACGGAUAAAAGGUACCCCGGGGAUAACAGGCUGAUCUUCCCCAAGAGUUCAUAUCGACGGGAUGGUUUGGCACCUCGAUGUCGGCUCGUCGCAUCCUGGGGCUGGAGUAGGUCCCAAGGGUUGGGCUGUUCGCCCAUUAAAGCGGCACGCGAGCUGGGUUUAGAACGUCGUGAGACAGUUCGGUCUCUAUCCGCCGCGCGCGU